GUGCCAGCAGCCGCGGUAGUAUGUAGGUGGCAAGCGUUAUCCGGAAUUAUUGGGCGUAAAGCGCGCGCAGGUGGUUUCUUAAGUCUGAUGUGAAAGCCCACGGCUCAACCGUGGAGGGUCAUUGGAAACUGGGAGACUUGAGUGCAGAAGAGGAAAGUGGAAUUCCAUGUGUAGCGGUGAAAAGCGUUGGGAUAUGGAGGAACACCAGUGGCGAAGGUGACUUUCUGGUCUGUAACUGACACUGAGGCGCGAAAGCGUGG
Molecule: ribosomal RNA, 260 nt
Filed under: uncultured bacterium
Lineage: Bacteria
Description: partial 16S rRNA
Rfam family: Bacterial small subunit ribosomal RNA
Source: RNAcentral